This 229-nucleotide long non-coding RNA is filed under the name Elaeis guineensis (African oil palm). RNAcentral's name for it is "long non-coding RNA (EGUI_LNC039558)". The record is from RNAcentral. Lineage: Eukaryota; Viridiplantae; Streptophyta; Magnoliopsida; Arecales; Arecaceae.
GGUCACCUUGAGCAUUUGGAUCAUAGGGAUGAAGUAUAAGGUAACCAUACGCCAGUAGAUUCUUGAAUGUUUCUUUGCAAUUAUUCGACCUAUCUGAAUAUUAGAUUUCACUACUAGAUGGUUAUAUCGAUUAGUUCAGAAAGUUGUUCCUGUGCUAUCGACUUAGGUUCGAACCUAUGGAGUCACACUCAAAAGAAGUUACUGACUUAUCGCAUGGUUGAUUAACGAU